GCAUGUGCGUCACGCCCAAGCCUGCUCCCGCCGAGCUCAGUUUCUUCCACAGCAGGGCAUAAAUUUUCUGCGUCAACUAUGUUCGUGAGCGAGCCCGUUUAGUUUCCAGAGAGGUGUUCCGAUGGGGCGAAAGGAUUAGCGCAGCGAGGUGUCUGGCUCGAAGUCGACGCUGCAAUGCGGAUGUCACUUCUGAAUAACAUGUCGGACCGAAGAAGGAUGACAGUUUUCGAAAUAGGGCCCACCAACGUCCACAGCCGUGUACGUAUGCCUGUCCGUAACAGUUGUGGAGAGAGAAAAAGAAGAAGAAAGGGAAGAGAAGGAAGAAGUUAUAAUGACAUCGAAGCUAUUGCUGAACUAUACCGAAACGAUUAGAAAAAUUACAGGACGGUUACGAUUGUGUAACGUGAAUUUCAGCGGUAGCUGUUACGUGUGGAUGUUUGGAUGACACUUUUAUUGCCUGAUAUAUGCACAACUACUUUAGAGUGACGAGUAUACUGCCUUCAGAUCUGUGAAGUGAGUGGUGACGUGUAGAGCUGUGAUUAGAUAUACAAAAAUGUGACAAAAAUAUUACUAAAAUCGGGACAAAGGCGGGACAGGACACGCUGAAAAACCGGGACACUUUCCGGGACAACGUACCCAUCUCUGAGUAUGUCUAAACUGCUUUUAUUAGCUUUAGAUUAUUUUAACUCGCUUGGCAUCACUGAAACCGAAAUCGAAACCUGAGGUUUUCUAAUACAGCCACAGCGAUCUCCCAAAACCUUCUCGUUAACAGCGACCGCUGUGAAAGCAGUCCAGCCCUGGCCAAUGUCCCUUUGGCGAAUCUCUCUUCAUUGGCAUCAUCAUUCCAGGAGUUUUCCACCAAAGUAGCUGGUGCAAGUGAUGUGGAGUUGCGUGCCUCACACUAUAGUGAAGCCAAAAUCUCCAUUUUAUUUUUUCUUAAGAUCAAAUCAAAUCAAAUCAAAUCAAUCCCUUUGGUGGAUGACUGCCAGAGACGGAGGAAGAAGAAGAAAAAGACUGCGGGCGCCCGAAGGUCAGGAUAGGAAGGUAGACCAACAGCUACAUAAUUUACACGCGUUCGACAGAAUACAUAAAAAUCCAGUCGAUUUUAUCUUUCUAUUUCUUUAACGCUUUGCAUUGUACUGCCUAACAGAGUGAAUGGAGAAGAAAGAAACAACAAUAAUUAAUGACGGGGAGUGGUUCUGCACGAAGGAAGAACCAAUUCCUGCCGUAAAAGCACUGUAACGAACUUGUUUACCUUUGUCGUUUGAUAUUUUGCACUUUGAUACUUGGUACUCUAAUAUUUUGUA
Long non-coding RNA from Ornithodoros turicata, 1307 nucleotides. RefSeq lists it as uncharacterized. The transcript has 3 exons. NCBI's taxonomy places the organism in Eukaryota, Metazoa, Arthropoda, Arachnida, Ixodida, Argasidae. The record is from RefSeq and is a predicted model, not a curated record.